Molecule: ribosomal RNA, 253 nt
Filed under: uncultured bacterium
Lineage: Bacteria
Description: partial 16S ribosomal RNA
Rfam family: Bacterial small subunit ribosomal RNA
Source: RNAcentral
UACGUAGGGUGCAAGCGUUGUCCGGAAUUAUUGGGCGUAAAGAGCUCGUAGGUGGCGGGUCACGUCGGGUGUGAAAGCCCGGGGCUUAACUCCGGGUCUGCAUUCGAUACGGGUCUGCUGGGGUCCGGCAGGGGAGACUGGAAUUCCUGGUGUAGCGGUGAAAUGCGCAGAUAUCAGGAGGAACACCGGUGGCGAAGGCGGGUCUCUGGGCCGAUACUGACACUGAGGAGCGAAAGCGUGGGGAGCGAACAGG